Eucalyptus grandis is the source of this 543-nucleotide long non-coding RNA. RefSeq lists it as uncharacterized. The transcript is spliced from 3 exons. NCBI's taxonomy places the organism in Eukaryota, Viridiplantae, Streptophyta, Magnoliopsida, Myrtales, Myrtaceae. The record is from RefSeq and is a predicted model, not a curated record.
AGAAACCCGAAAAAUUACGAAGUUCUGGAUUCUUCUGGGCGCCGCAAGCCUUUCACGUCCUCUCUAGCUUCGCCGCCGGCCGCCAGCUCCGUCGGUGGCCACAGCCGGUCUUCCAUCUCCGAUCACGGAAGACGCAAGGAGCUCGAACCUAGAUCCUCUGGAUUUCCUCUCUCGUCUGAGCAACAUCGAGAGUUGCGCGAGCAGGCUGGUGGAUUCAUCGGUGCAAAUACUUCUUCGAGAUCGGAGACAGAAGCUCGAGGCCCACGACUGAGUGUUCCGUCGGCCGUUGGCGUCGAAUUACGAAGAGGCUCACGUCGCUGAGUUCGGCAAUCAACUUCGGCUCCAGUUGAAUCGCCGUGGAGCAAGGCCCAUGUAAGUGGGGCUACAUUCUCGAUUGGCUUCUUUUUAGUGGGUACCAUAGCAUUUCACCUAGAGGCCUGGAACAAUGGCACAUGCUUCCGGUAUCAUUUCCAUUGCCUACUGAACAUGCUGGAUUAAGGGCUAUACCUGCAGUACGUGCUCGCCAUAUGGUAAUUUCUUGGU